AGUGGGGAAUCUUGGACAAUGGGCGCAAGCCUGAUCCAGCCAUGCCGCGUGAGUGAUGAAGGCCUUAGGGUCGUAAAGCUCUUUCGCCAGAGAUGAUAAUGACAGUAUCUGGUAAAGAAACCCCGGCUAACUCCGUGCCAGCAGCCGCGGUAAUACGGAGGGGGUKAGCGUUGUUCGGAAUUACUGGGCGUAAAGCGCACGUAGGCGGAUCAGAAAGUAUAGGGUGAAAUCCCAGGGCUCAACCCUGGAACUGCCUUGUAAACUCCUGGUCUUGAGUUCGAGAGAGGUGAGUGGAAUUCCGAGUGUAGAGGUGAAAUUCGUAGAUAUUCGGAGGAACACCAGUGGCGAAGGCGGCUCACUGGCUCGAUACUGACGCUGAGGUGCGAAAGUGUGGGGAGCAAACAGGAUUAGAUACCCUGGUAGUCCACACCGUAAACGAUGAAUGCCAGACGUCAGCAAGCAUGCUUGUUGGUGUCACACCUAAACG
Molecule: ribosomal RNA, 487 nt
Filed under: uncultured bacterium
Lineage: Bacteria
Description: bacterial SSU rRNA
Rfam family: Bacterial small subunit ribosomal RNA
Source: RNAcentral